This 460-nucleotide ribosomal RNA is filed under the name uncultured bacterium. RNAcentral describes it as "partial 16S ribosomal RNA". It matches the Rfam family "Bacterial small subunit ribosomal RNA", at positions 338 to 795 of the family's 1533-position model. The record is from RNAcentral.
CCUACGGGAGGCAGCAGUGAGGAAUAUUGGUCAAUGGUCGCAAGACUGAACCAGCCAAGUAGCGUGCAGGAUGACGGCCCUAUGGGUUGUAAACUGCUUUUAUACGGGGGUAAAAUGCGUCACGUGUGAUGUUUUGUAUGUAUCGCAUGAAUAAGGAUCGGCUAACUCCGUGCCAGCAGCCGCGGUAAUACGGAGGAUCCGAGCGUUAUCCGGAUUUAUUGGGUUUAAAGGGAGCGUAGGCGGGUCGUUAAGUGUGAGGUUAAAUCCCGGGGCUCAACCCCGGCACUGCCGCUGAUACUGUCUGGCUAGAGUUCAGUUGCGGUAGGCGGAAUGUGUGGUGUAGCGGUGAAAUGCAUAGAGAUCACACAGAACACCGAUUGCGAAGGCAGCUUACCAAACUGCGACUGACGUUGAGGCACGAAAGCGUGGGUAUCAAACAGGAUUAGAUACCCUUGUAGUC